Molecule: ribosomal RNA, 470 nt
Filed under: uncultured Syntrophaceae bacterium
Lineage: Bacteria; Pseudomonadati; Thermodesulfobacteriota; Syntrophia; Syntrophales; Syntrophaceae
Description: bacterial SSU rRNA
Rfam family: Bacterial small subunit ribosomal RNA
Source: RNAcentral
GACGGGGCCCGCACAAGCGGUGGAGCAUGUGGUUUAAUUCGAUGCAACGCGAAGAACCUUACCUGGGCUUGACAUCCCAAGAAUCCCCUGGAAACAGGGGAGUGCCCUUCGGGGAGCUUGGAGACAGGUGCUGCAUGGCUGUCGUCAGCUCGUGUCGUGAGAUGUUGGGUUAAGUCCCGCAACGAGCGCAACCCUUGCCUUUAGUUGCCAUCAUUCAGUUGGGCACUCUAGAGGGACUGCCGGUGUCAAACCGGAGGAAGGUGGGGAUGACGUCAAGUCCUCAUGGCCUUUAUGCCCAGGGCUACACACGUGCUACAAUGGUUGGUACAACGAGUUGCGAGUCGGUGACGGCGAGCUAAUCUCUUAAAGCCAAUCUCAGUUCGGAUUGUAGGCUGCAACUCGCCUACAUGAAGUCGGAAUCGCUAGUAAUCGCGGAUCAGCACGCCGCGGUGAAUACGUUCCCGGGCCUU